Non-coding RNA from Arachis ipaensis, 591 nucleotides. The record is from RefSeq and is a predicted model, not a curated record. NCBI's taxonomy places the organism in Eukaryota, Viridiplantae, Streptophyta, Magnoliopsida, Fabales, Fabaceae.
AGCGUCGCAAAAAACACAAGACUACAGAGUUUUGGGCAGUUAAGAUAAUCGAUUCUGACGGCACAAUCAAGCCGGCAAGACUAAGCGUGAGGGAGGCUAUGGAAUGGCCUAACGGUAGGAAGAUCGUGCUCAGGUUCAACAACGCAAAGCAAGCAAUUGGAGACGAAGCUGGACUGUUGAGUGGCAUGCUUGGUCUGCUAGGAUCUAACUAUGGAAAAUUUUCUACCUGUGAGUAAAGUUGAUGUAAGAUUACCACUAAAGACAAGGUUUAUAACGAAUGCAUCAAAGGUAAUCUAGUAACUCAUUGGUACACAACAUUACAAUUUAUUUAGCAUUGAGUCUUUUUAAAUCAGUUUCUAAUUGCCCUUUGUCUCUGAUGGACCAACAGGAGAAGUGCAGGAAAAGCGCGUCUAAUCGAUCAAAGCAACUAUAUACCCACACUGGUGGUUCGAAAAGCUUUGCAUGGCGGAUGGAAGAAGAGUCAGAAGAACAAGGGAGAAGAGUCGGUAGAGGAGAGUUAUGGAUCAAAGUGCACAAAAAAAUAUGGCUCUUAUAUCAAUGAUGAAGCAAGAGUAAUUGGAGAAAAAAAUU